This 103-nucleotide unclassified non-coding RNA is filed under the name uncultured Glomus. Its description in RNAcentral is "sequence contains ITS1". Lineage: Eukaryota; Fungi; Glomeromycota; Glomeromycetes; Glomerales; Glomeraceae. The record is from RNAcentral.
CUGGUUGGCGAACCGAGCGUUAGCGAGGUUUUGCGAUCACUUGUAUUUAAAACCCACUCUUGAACGUAUAAAAUUUAUGUUAUUAUAAUGAUAAAAUAAAAGA